CAACCAGCAGCCGGGGGAGUGUCAGGGGCGGGGUUCCCGUGUUGCGCUAUGGAAAAUCGUUAGGGGGAUACACUGUGAUAAACGUGCGCACCGAGAUUUAUAAUAGCAACAAUAGGACUGAAAGGGGAAUCUGGAGGACUGACCAUUCACAGAGAACCAUGUCUGAGCGGCACCGGCCGGAGAACAGAUGAGACUCCUGCUGCACUGGAGGAAAACAGGCUUGGGAUAAACACCUGGAGCAAAUGCAAUUCAGCAGAUGUUGCCAGGCCAAAAUGAGAUGCAGCAAACAGGCACUGUAAAAAGACUCCAGAGGAGAGGCUAUGUGAAUCUACUGAUGGAUGUGUUUACAGCAGGGGGGCCAGCAUCACCUGUAGCCCACAUAAACCUUCAGAAAAAAAAAAACGUCAAACCCAUUUGGACCGGGAGCAGGACUGGAUGCCUGAGGCAGACCCAAGAGACGACACACAACAGAUGAUAAGGAGAUUAUUUAGUUAAAUACUUCAGCAGUCCAGAGGUUAUGGUAUCAGCCCAGUGUAGCUGUCAAAGUUAUGCAAGUUUUUUUCAUAGACUUAAAUAUAGAAAUAGUGCAAAAUGUGAGAUUACAGUUAAAUUAACAUACAUUGUUCAUGGCUAUAUGAUGUAAUAUCUAUGAAUAAAGUGUUUCACUUGAGGUUGAGCAGUGUUUUGUUUGUUAAGCUUAAUUCAUAUGAAACCAUUUCAGUCCUAACAAUGUUACUGGAAAGUUUUAUUCACACGUAACAAAUAGGUUCUUUGUGAUUAAUAUAUUAAUGAUUAAUGAUGAUGUUUUUGCACCCUUUAGUUAUUAACCAUGCCACCUCAGUCAAUUUUUAAGAGUCAGAAGUCUCACAUCAAGUAAGUUGUCUGAACAAUUUCUAAUUAUAACCUGUCACUUCUCCCACACCAGAGUUCAAAAAGCAAUGCUUUUGAGUUUUUGAGCUUUAAAUUAAAUUUAAUUAUAGCAUGUAAUCCUUUAAUACACGGCUGCCUGAUGCUCUCAUGCUACAUCACAUGGAGAAAGGACAGAGAAUAAGGCCCGAUAUUAGCCUAAAACAUCAAGCCUAUAAGUGUCAACCUUGUUACCCUUCACGUGUUGUAUGGUUGACAUUCACAUUAACACAGCUGUCUUUUGGAUAACUGAGUGAAAAUUCUUAAUUAAAAUUCAUGAAUGAUUAACCCUCACUGUCAAGGUUAACUGGAGGUUAAUAGGAGAAGUGAUUAUGAAUCUUUGUAGUCUAGUUCUAAUACAUAAAGAUUCAUUUUAGUGUUUAGAAUUGUGACUCUAGAAUGAGACUAAACUUCACCGUCAUAUGGAUAUCGCUCUGAUUUUAAAACCAUUUUUCAUGCUGCAUGUUAUUCAUCCAUUUAAUAUCCUUUUCAAAAUUGUGUAAGCUGGAUAUAGGUUGGAGUUAAAUAAAGACAGAUUCCAGUGUGACUAACUAGAGUUUGCUAUAAUUAUUUGUUGUUACUGUCCUAGUUUUGUUUUGUUUGGGUUUUCCCUCUAAGCUAUUCUGUUUAAUUCUGCGUCUGUCUGCUUAGGUACGUGCACCUGGCCAUGCAGUAUUAAUGCAGUCUGCUUUUGUAUACCCUCGCAGUAAAGGAAAUUAUUGCACUGAUUGAAAUGUGCUUUGUUUGUAAUAAAUAAAUGAAUAAAAUAUAAUACAUCUAUUGUAAGUCCAUCCAUAUUUAAGUGUGUUUGCAUUGUGUGAACAAACCACCUACAAUCAACGCCAAUGCCAGCCUUCAUUUGUUUUAUGUUUUUA
Thunnus maccoyii (southern bluefin tuna) is the source of this 1781-nucleotide long non-coding RNA. RefSeq lists it as uncharacterized. NCBI's taxonomy places the organism in Eukaryota, Metazoa, Chordata, Actinopteri, Scombriformes, Scombridae. The record is from RefSeq and is a predicted model, not a curated record. The transcript is spliced from 4 exons.